GGUUUUGCAAGGGUGAGUGCACUUAUGGUUGGUACUCAACAAGUCGUAGGGAACAGUGUAGUGUAAGGCUAACCAAGGUAUGGCUAAGGUUUUUACUGCAUCAGCUUUUAUUUAGUUGGUCAAAUUUUAUUAGCAAUUAAUUAAGUGUAAAUUCAUACCACCCACAAUUAAGCAAGAAACAUUAAUAAAGUAUAAUAGCAUAACCAUGAAUAAGUGACAGCAAUUUAAGUCCAUCUUUCGAUAAUUUUAUUAUGUGAGGGUUUAGAACGCUCUUAACUGUGAGCACGGAUGAUCGAUCAGUUUUACACUUUACAGAGGUUGCACAUUUUUACCCACCAGUCGUGUAAAAGUUCAAAAGAACUUUGGGCCCAACCAUUCGGUGUUUGCAAGGUACCAUACCACACUUUCGAGGUGUGAUUGCAUACGGACGCUACGAGACCUUUACAAAAUUUCCCCAGUUAGGAUAGCUCGCUAAGGUUGCUAAGGUUUCAUGAUCAAUGCAAUGCAUAACCUUCCCUAGUGGGUAUAGUGUCUUAGCUAAACCCACUUCCCAAAAGGACCAAUGUUAUACACCAACUACUGUCUCCCCCUCUUGCCC
This 598-nucleotide long non-coding RNA is filed under the name Setaria viridis. RNAcentral's name for it is "long non-coding RNA (SVIR_LNC001332)". The record is from RNAcentral. Lineage: Eukaryota; Viridiplantae; Streptophyta; Magnoliopsida; Poales; Poaceae.